Molecule: ribosomal RNA, 200 nt
Filed under: uncultured eukaryote
Lineage: Eukaryota
Description: partial 18S ribosomal RNA
Rfam family: Eukaryotic small subunit ribosomal RNA
Source: RNAcentral
GCUCCAAUAGCGUAUAUUUAAGUUGUUGCAGUUAAAAAGCUCGUAGUUGGACCUUGGGUUGGGUCGCCGGUCCGCCUCGCGGUGUGCACCGGCCGUCUCGUCCUUCUGCCGGUGAUGCGCUCCUGGCCUUAAUUGGCCGGGUCGUGCCACCGGCGCUGUUACUUUGAAGAAAUUAGAGUGCUCAAAGCAAGCCUACGCUC